This 545-nucleotide long non-coding RNA is filed under the name Solanum tuberosum (potato). RNAcentral describes it as "long non-coding RNA (STUB_LNC010289)". The record is from RNAcentral. Lineage: Eukaryota; Viridiplantae; Streptophyta; Magnoliopsida; Solanales; Solanaceae.
CAAGGAGGAGUCGGAGGAAGAAACCAAGGAAGAGAAGGAUGAUGAAGAAGGGGAGAAAAAGGAUAAAGAGAAGAAACUUAAGAAGGUUAAGAAAGAAAAAAAGGAAAAAGUGAAGAGCGAGGAGGAGUCGAAGGGAGAAAAGGAUGAAGAAAAAGUGGAGAAGAAACUCAAGAUAGUUAAGAUUGAGGAAAAGGAAAAAGAGAAGAAAGACAAGAGCAAGGAGGAGUCGGAGGAAGAAACCAAGGAAGAGAAGGAUGAUGAAGAAGGGGAGAAAAGGAUAAAGAGAAGAAACUUAAGAAGGUUAAGAAAGAAAAAAGGAAAAAGUGAAGAGCGAGGAGGAGUCGAAGGGAGAAAAGGAUGAAGAAAAAGUGGAGAAGAAACUCAAGAUAGUUAAGAUUGAGGAAAAGGAAAAAGAGAAGAAAGACAAGAGCAAAGAGGGGUCGGAGGAAGAAAAAGUGGAGAAGAAACUCAAGAUAGUUAAGAUUGAGAAAAAGGAAAAAGAGAAGAAAGACAAGAGCAAGGAGGAGUCGGAGGAAGCAACGAAU